GGUAUACCUAAAAAUAUAAAAUUAUUAAUUUAAUUGAACAGUAUUAAAAUCAAAUCAACGAAAAAUAAAAAAUAAAAUGUUACUUGGGUCAUUGACAAUAUUUCCGAUGACGAACCACAAGCGUACAUAGCAUUUUGAUAGCGACUGGCAGUAGGUGAAAAUUCUGCUUUUAUGUGUCCAUCGAUGGCUGUAAAAAUUUUUAUCAUAAAUAAAUAAAUCUUAUUACCUACUUAUAUUAAUAAAAGUUAUUAUAAUUGAACACUUACAUAUAUUUCCCUCAACAUCCCUGAUGGUAUCAAAGUUGACUUGCCUUGGCGGUACAACCGGUGGUCCAGCCAACAUGGUAUGAACUCCCAAGAAAUUAAAAGUUGUGUUGGGUUGUAUGAUUAUUUCAUACGGCAAGAAUCCUUGAGACUCGAGCAGCUUUGGAAAUUUCGAUGACUUGCAUAAGCCUUUAUUCACAUGAAGUCUCUGCAAAGCGAAUAAAAUAUAAUUUGAUAAAUAACUUGUGGUUGGUGUCUGUCGAUCAACUCCUUACCCUAUAUCAGACACAUUACUUUCUUUGUUCCGUUACUCAAUCCAAAUUUGAAUAAAUCAAAUGAUUCUG
Nasonia vitripennis (jewel wasp) is the source of this 607-nucleotide long non-coding RNA. RefSeq lists it as uncharacterized. The record is from RefSeq and is a predicted model, not a curated record. NCBI's taxonomy places the organism in Eukaryota, Metazoa, Arthropoda, Insecta, Hymenoptera, Pteromalidae. The transcript has 3 exons.